This 216-nucleotide ribosomal RNA is filed under the name Glomeromycotina sp. RNAcentral describes it as "partial small subunit ribosomal RNA". The stretch from base 40 to 216 matches the Rfam family "Eukaryotic small subunit ribosomal RNA", at positions 686 to 864 of the family's 1831-position model. Lineage: Eukaryota; Fungi; Glomeromycota. The record is from RNAcentral.
GGGUCAGUAGGUUGGUCGUGCCACCGGUACGUACUGGUCUCACUGAUUCCUCCUUCCUGAAGAACCGUAAUGCCAUUAAUUUGGUGUUGCGGGGAAACAGGACUGUUACUUUGAAAAAAUUAGAGUGUUUAAAGCAAGCUAACGCUUGAAUACAUUAGCAUGGAAUAAUGAAAUAGGACGAUCGAUCCUAUUUUGUUGGUUUUUAGGAUUGACGUA